RNAcentral lists this unclassified non-coding RNA (241 nucleotides) under uncultured fungus. RNAcentral's name for it is "sequence contains ITS1". The record is from RNAcentral. Lineage: Eukaryota; Fungi.
GUUUUAAUUACAAACAAAUUGUAUUAGCUUUUUGUUGCGUAAGUGUUUGUUUUAACAAGCGUCUGAGCCGGCGGGCAGCAGCACUGGUCGUACUCGACCAGUGCAAAUACACUGACUCCGCCAACACCAGACAUAAAAUGCUGGUACGCCCGACCUGCAAGAGGCUGAGAGUAACCAAGUUCACAAGGGUGUAUAGAAAUUGGAUUCAAUGAUGAUCCUUCCGCAGGUUCACCUACGGAAA